UUGACCUCGGAUCAGGUAGGGAUACCCGCUGAACUUAAGCAUAUAAAAGGGGGGGAAGGAAA
Molecule: ribosomal RNA, 62 nt
Filed under: Aspergillus nidulans
Lineage: Eukaryota; Fungi; Ascomycota; Eurotiomycetes; Eurotiales; Aspergillaceae
Description: partial 28S ribosomal RNA
Source: RNAcentral